Molecule: ribosomal RNA, 305 nt
Filed under: uncultured bacterium
Lineage: Bacteria
Description: bacterial SSU rRNA
Rfam family: Bacterial small subunit ribosomal RNA
Source: RNAcentral
GCCUACGGGGGGCAGCAGUGGGGAAUAUUGCACAAUGGGGGAAACCCUGAUGCAGCGACGCCGCGUGAGUGAGGAAGUAUUUCGGUAUGUAAAGCUCUAUCAGCAGGGAAGAAAAUGACGGUACCUGACUAAGAAGCCCCGGCUAACUACGUGCCAGCAGCCGCAGUAAUACGUAGGGGGCAAGCGUUAUCCGGAUUUACUGGGUGUAAAGGGAGCGUAGACGGCUAAUCAAGUCAGAAGUGAAAACCCAGGGCUCAACCUUGGGACUGCUUUUGAAACUGGGUAGCUAGAGUGCAGGAGAGGUA